CAUGGCCACUUAUGACAAGCCCAUCCACAUGUAGGCUUUUGUUAUAUCCUCGAUAGCCUCUUUUUCUUAUUCCGUUGAGAAUCUUGAACGCUUAGAAUAGGCUUUUUGUUGCUGUUGUUACUCAAGCAGCCCAUAUUUUCCUUUAUUCGGGACUCCAAAUACACUACGUAAAUGUUCAUCUUCUGCAAUUUUUCCAUAAUAAAGAUGAGAUGUAACCUGCAGAAACAUGACUGCCAAGCACUAAGAUGGUG
Molecule: unclassified non-coding RNA, 251 nt
Filed under: Hevea brasiliensis (rubber tree)
Lineage: Eukaryota; Viridiplantae; Streptophyta; Magnoliopsida; Malpighiales; Euphorbiaceae
Source: RNAcentral